UAUAUCCUACAAAAUUUAAGUUAUUACAUUUGUUUCUUCGAAAAUUUUUUGAUUUGCAAAUAUAUCUCUAAAAAAAUUCUGAGUCAUUCAUUCGUUUGAUUCACUAUUAAUUUUUUAACGAUGGGAGUAUAAAAUGACUAUUUUAUUCUUACAAAAUUGUCCGUGCAAAAAGAUAUAUUUUUUUUCUCUCUCUUCUUGUCUUCGUUGCGGCACGUGUGGCAUACCUCAAUUAUUAAUGUAGAAGUGAUGUGAAAGUAUUGUAAUUGAUGAUACGAGGGGAAUUAAUAUGCUACAUGACAUUUACAUCAAUAGUAUUUUAAUAUUUAGUCAAUUAAAUUAAAUUAUGAGAUUUAAUUGCAACAAUACAAAAAAAUUUGAUCUAGAAUUGUAAUAAAUUAAAAAUUGAGGACUAGAAGCGUCACGUGACUCAUAGUUUGAGGACCAAAAGUACAGUGUACUCUUUUUACAAAUUAUUUUUAUUUGGAAAAUAUAGUUCAGCAAAAAAAUCUAUUUUAAAAAGUUUUAGCUAGUGUUUGGUUGGGGGUUAAGGGGUGGAAUAACCCCUUAACCCCCAAUUUAUUCUCAAACACCUCAAAUAAGGGGUGGGGCUAGCUAACCCGAUUCUAAAUGGGCUAUUCCGGAAUAAUCCAUUUUGGGUGGGAUUAGAGGAAUUAGCUAAUCCCACCUCACCCCACCCCACUACUCCAACCAAACAAAACACUAUUUUACCCACUAUCCUUCUUAUCCCAUCUACUCCAACCAAACACUAUUUUUUUUUAUCCUAGACUAACUCCAACCCCCAAUCAAAUACAAAAAAUACUCUAACCCCAGCUUAACGCUGAACUUAACUCUAUUCCUGAAAUAACUAGUUUUUUCUUAACCCCGAACUAAACGGUAGCUUAAGGUGUAAUCCAAGACGCGACGGACCGGCCAUCCCGAAUACCAUCUUCUCUGUGUAAUCCAAGAC
RNAcentral lists this long non-coding RNA (967 nucleotides) under Ananas comosus (pineapple). RNAcentral describes it as "long non-coding RNA (ACOM_LNC044349)". The record is from RNAcentral. Lineage: Eukaryota; Viridiplantae; Streptophyta; Magnoliopsida; Poales; Bromeliaceae.